Cricetulus griseus (Chinese hamster) is the source of this 107-nucleotide small nuclear RNA. NCBI's taxonomy places the organism in Eukaryota, Metazoa, Chordata, Mammalia, Rodentia, Cricetidae. The record is from Ensembl.
GUGCUCACUUCAACAGCACAUAUACUAAAAUUGGAACAAUACAGAGAAAAUUAGCACAGCCUCUGUACAAGGAUGACAUGCAAAUUUGUGAAGUAUUCCAUAUCUUU